This 2104-nucleotide long non-coding RNA is filed under the name Nicotiana benthamiana. Its description in RNAcentral is "long non-coding RNA (NBEN_LNC040395)". The record is from RNAcentral. Lineage: Eukaryota; Viridiplantae; Streptophyta; Magnoliopsida; Solanales; Solanaceae.
AAACCACUCAUGUUAACUACUAAAAUUAUCAAUGCCUACAUCGAAACCACGAGCUUAAGGAUGUAGAAUUCAAAAUAAAUUACAGAUCCAAAUUACUUCUGAUUCUCAAUUUGAACAGAAUGGUUUAAACUAGGCAAGUGUUGGUUAUACUAAGGCUAUGGCUAGACAAUCAUGAGUUCAAAUAGUCCGAAACAGUCCAUUACAGUCCAAAACAAUUUAAUUUCAGUGAAACAAACAACCACAUCACAAGGAAACUAUCUAAAAAUACAGCAGAAUUAUUUAAAGUGUUGCUCCACAGCAGAAAUUUGCUUCAGUUUUAUUUCAAUGUUGUCAAACAGGAGAUGAUACAUCGAAGCAGGCUCGAAAAGUGUACCUGAAGAACAGAAUGUAGUAAGAAGAAAUAGAGGUUAGCAACAGCAGAACAUGCAACAGGAGUUUGAGUUCAAACGUAAAAAUCACACCCAACUUCAUCCCAGAAAUGAGUCGGGAAUCCAUAAAUAUUUUAAAACCAAUAGGAUCAACAGAUCAGGCAAACACAAAUUCGAAUAAAUCCAAAUGACCUCUAAAAUGAACCCAGAAGUACAUCACAAUAACACAACACCCAAACUGAUCCAAAAUAACUCGAUCGAGACCAAAAACCAAUUGAGACCAGACCAGUAAACCUCAAAUUCAGCUUGAUUAACCAAAAACAAAGUGGAAAUCGAACCCUAAGCCAACUCAGUCACUUCAAUGAUUGAACAUCAGAAUUCUACAACUAUCCUCUUCUUCAAAUUAGGCUAGAAACUCGAACAGUUACUAAAAAUUGAAAACUGAUCUAAGGAGUUUAAUGAAACAAUAUUUUUUUGAAUUUUUCUGAUGUUUUUGAGUUUUUUUUUGGUUUUUGAAUUUUGAAUUCCAGGUUUCGGAUCUGGAAAAUUGAGAGAAUACUUUGGAGGGAAAUUUUUGGGUGCCAAAACUUCCUAGUGAAGGCAUGGGAAUGCCUCUUGUAUAGACAUGAAUGAGGGAAACUUCAGAUUUUCUCCUUUCUUAAGUCCUUAUUUAAUUUCAACUUUAGUCCCUCAUUUUUAAACUUGUUGCACAAGUAACUACCAGUAUGAAUCUAAAUUUUUGACUAAUAACCCUCAUAGAAGCUUCUAGUAAUUCCCAAAUUCAGCCCCCAAAUGAAAUUUCCAAAUUGCCCCUUCUAUUAACUUGAAAUUACUAAUCCAAACCACCCUUGUUGACUGACUUACCCUAGUUAAACAAACAUUCAGAUUGUGGGAACUAUCGGCGACUAAAUCUAAAUGAAACAAUGAAUCGACUAAUGAUGAAAAUAGAGCCUAUUUCAAUAAAUCUACUCACCUAAAACUAACAUGAGAUCUGUAGUAAGCUAUUAUUAACAAUUUACCUAACAGAAUUAACAGAAAAGAUUGAACUAAAUUAGAAAUUUUAAGAGACACCAACUAAUUUAAAUCUUAAUCAAUGAUGAACAAUAGUCAGACUAAGGUUUGGAACAUGAUGAAAUAGAUUCUAAGAUGAAUAACUUCUGUGAUACCAAUUGAACAAAAGAAAAACGGAAACACACAAAAUUAGACUUCGACUAAUUACACAACUAAUUGACUAUAACAGAAAUGCUAAAAGCCCUUAAGAAACCUACCAGCUGCUUUUCAAAAAUUAAGAUUCGAAUGAUUCCGAUGGGAUUUGGACGUAUUUGAUUGUGAAUUCUUCCUGGGGAAGACCCAAGGACGCUGUGGUAUCAAUUUGGGAAGAUUUGGUGCAACUGGGGUUUUGGUUGGAAAAACUAAAAUUGGUAUUCGAACAGUUCUGGCGGAAUUCGGGGAACAGGGUUAAGGGGGUUGGGUAGAGGAAGGCCAGGCGGUCAUGGGAUGUUAAUUUGGGCGAGGGCGAGGUAGUGUCUUGGCCGGAAUUUUUUAUAUAUAUAAGAUUCGAGGAUUUAGAUUGUGAUUCGAGGGAAAAGAAGUACGGAUUCGGAGAGAGGAAGGACCGGGGAAUCUGGGUUGUGCAUUUGGUGGAAUUUGGAGAUGUGCCGCCACCAUGAGCAAUUUUCGGAGGCGACGGACGGUGGUGUUACGCAGAGCUGUUAAAGGGGUGUGUUUGGGGACAA